AUGAUCGCUAUUGCCGGCGCGUUGGUCGCCGGUGUGGCAGCCGCGGCCACGGCGGGGAUGCUUGCGUUGGCGUCGUCGCGCGGCGACCGGGGCGAGGAUGCCACGAGCGCCGUGGCGGCGCCGGCGGCGUCCCAGGAGUGCGCGGUGUGCCUGUCGGAGCUGGUCGGAGCGGCGGGAUACUCCGGCGACUCCGAGCCAUCGUCGGCGCUGGUACGCGUGCUGUCGGGCUGUGGGCACGGGUUCCACGACGAGUGCAUCGGCAGGUGGCUGCUGCUGCGCCCCGAGUGCCCGCUCUGCCGCUGCCCCGUGGUCACCGCGGACAGUCGGCUAGCCAGGAAGGCCGUGUCGCUGGCGGAGGCCGCGCCUGCCUUGUCGCGGCCGGCUAGGAUCGCGUGCGGCUUCGGCGACGGGAGGGUGGUGUGGACGCGUAGCCCACCCGUGGCAUUGUAA
RNAcentral lists this ribosomal RNA (450 nucleotides) under Triticum aestivum (bread wheat). Its description in RNAcentral is "partial small subunit ribosomal RNA". Lineage: Eukaryota; Viridiplantae; Streptophyta; Magnoliopsida; Poales; Poaceae. The record is from RNAcentral.